Molecule: ribosomal RNA, 492 nt
Filed under: uncultured bacterium
Lineage: Bacteria
Description: partial 16S ribosomal RNA
Rfam family: Bacterial small subunit ribosomal RNA
Source: RNAcentral
AGUGAACGCUGGCGGUAGGCCUAACACAUGCAAGUCGAACGGCAGCACAGUAAGAGCUUGCUCUUACGGGUGGCGAGUGGCGGACGGGUGAGGAAUACAUCGGCAUCUACUUUUUCGUGGGGGAUAACGUAGGGAAACUUACGCUAAUACCGCAUACGACCUACGGGUGAAAGCAGGGGAUCUUCGGACCUUGCGCGAUUGAAUGAGCCGAUGUCGGAUUAGCUAGUUGGCGGGGUAAAGGCCCACCAAGGCGACGAUCCGUAGCUGGUCUGAGAGGAUGAUCAGCCACACUGGAACUGAGACACGGUCCAGACUCCUACGGGAGGCAGCAGUGGGGAAUAUUGGACAAUGGGCGCAAGCCUGAUCCAGCCAUACCGCGUGGGUGAAGAGGGCCUUCGGGUUGUAAAGCCCUUUUGUUGGGAAAGAAAAGCAGCAGGUUAAUACCCCGCUGUUCUGACGGUACCCAAAGAAUAAGCACCGGCUAACUUCGUG